AAUCAACGCUGGCGGCGUGCCUAACACAUGCAAGUCGCACGAGAAAGGGACUUCGGUCCUGAGUACAGUGGCGCACGGGUGAGUAACACGUGAAUCAUCUACCUUCGAGUGGGGAAUAACUGAGAGAAAUCUUAGCUAAUACCGCAUAAUACCUACGGGUCAAAGCAGCAAUGCGCUUGAAGAGGAGUUCGCGGCAGAUUAGUUAGUUGGCAGGGUAAUGGCCUACCAAGACGAUGAUCUGUAUCCGGCCUGAGAGGGCGCACGGACACACUGGAACUGAAACACGGUCCAGACUCCUACGGGAGGCAGCAGUGGGGAAUUUUGCGCAAUGGGGGAAACCCUGACGCAGCAACGCCGCGUGGAGGAUGAAAUCCCUUGGGAUGUAAACUCCUUUCGAUCGGGAAGAUAAUGACGGUACCGAGAGAAGAAGCCCCGGCUAACUUCGUGCCAGCAGCCGCAGUAAU
Molecule: ribosomal RNA, 464 nt
Filed under: uncultured bacterium
Lineage: Bacteria
Description: bacterial SSU rRNA
Rfam family: Bacterial small subunit ribosomal RNA
Source: RNAcentral